Molecule: ribosomal RNA, 500 nt
Filed under: uncultured rumen bacterium 68pARRO
Lineage: Bacteria; Pseudomonadati; Bacteroidota
Description: bacterial SSU rRNA
Rfam family: Bacterial small subunit ribosomal RNA
Source: RNAcentral
UUUUCNNUGGSUARACGYUAGYUACAGGCUUAACACAUSCAAGUCGAGGGGCAGCAUGUUGGUUGCUUGCAACCAAUGAUGGCGACCGGCGCACGGGUGAGUAACGCGUAUCCAACYUCCCCCUUAGUAGAGGAUAGCCCGGCGAAAGUCGGAUUAAUACUCUAUGUUGUAUUUCGAGGACAUCUGACGAAUACCAAAGAUUUAUCGCUAUGGGAUGGGGAUGCGUCUGAUUAGGUAGUCGGCGGGGUAACGGCCCACCGAGCCAUCGAUCAGUAGGGGUUCUGAGAGGAAGGUCCCCCACAUUGGUACUGAGACACGGACCAAACUCCUACGGGAGGCAGCAGUGAGGAAUAUUGGUCAAUGGGCGCGAGCCUGAACCAGCCAAGUAGCGUGCAGGACGACUGCCCUAUGGGUUGUAAACUGCUUUUAUGCGGGAAUAAAGUGGCGUACGUGUWCGCUUUUGUAUGUWCCGCAUGAAUAAGGACCGGGUAAUUUCCGUU